This 1000-nucleotide ribosomal RNA is filed under the name uncultured bacterium. RNAcentral describes it as "bacterial SSU rRNA". It matches the Rfam family "Bacterial small subunit ribosomal RNA", at positions 517 to 1526 of the family's 1533-position model. The record is from RNAcentral.
CNGGUAAUACAUAGNCCUCGAGCGUUAUCCNGGAUUUACUGGGCGUAAAGCGUGCGUAGGUGUCUUGGCAAGUCUCUGGUGAAAUCUCCGGGGCUCAACUCGGAAACUGUCAGAGAAACUGUUAGGAUUGAGUGUCGCAGAGGCAGACGGAAUGCUUGGUGUAGCGGUAAAAUGCGUAGAUAUCAAGCAGAACACCGAUGGCGAAGGCAGUCUGCUGGGCGAUCACUGACACUGAGGUACGAAAGCGUGGGGAGCGAACGGGAUUAGAUACCCCGGUAGUCCACGCCGUAAACGAUGGGUACUAGGUAUCUGGGGCAUAGACCCCCUGGGUAUCGAAGCUAACGCGUUAAGUACCCCGCCUGGGGAGUACGGUCGCAAGACUAAAACUCAAAGGAAUUGACGGGGACCCGCACAAGCGGUGGAGCGUGUGGUUUAAUUCGACGGUAAGCGAAGAACCUUACCAGGGUUUGACAUCCCGGGAAUCCCUGAGAAAUCGGGGAGUGCCGCAAGGAGCCUGGUGACAGGUGCUGCAUGGCCGUCGUCAGCUCGUGUCGUGAGAUGUUGGGUUAAGUCCCGCAACGAGCGCAACCCUUGUCGUGUGUUGUAUUUUUCACGCGAGACUGCCUCGGUUAACGAGGAGGAAGGUGGGGAUGACGUCAGGUCAGCAUGGCCCUUAUACCCUGGGCGACACACGCGCUACAAUGGCCGGUACAACGGGUUGCGAAAUCGCGAGAUUGAGCUAAUCCUAUCAAAACCGGUCUCAGUUCGGAUUGGAGUCCGCAACUCGACUCCAUGAAGCCGGAAUCGCUAGUAAACGCGGAUCAGCCACGCUGCGUUGAAUACGUUCUCGGGUCUUGUACACACCGCCCGUCAAGUCACGAAAAUCGGUAAUGCCCGAAGCACUCUUAGCCAACCUUUGGAGGCGGAGUACCACGGCAAGAUCGGUAAUUGGGACUAAGUCGUAACAAGGUAUCCGUAGCGGAAGCUGCGGCUGGAUCCC